RNAcentral lists this transfer RNA (61 nucleotides) under Opisthorchis viverrini. RNAcentral describes it as "tRNA-Ser". Lineage: Eukaryota; Metazoa; Platyhelminthes; Trematoda; Opisthorchiida; Opisthorchiidae. The record is from RNAcentral.
GGGGGCUGUCGUGUUAUCGCUGCUAACGAUGAUUUGAACUCAAGGCUGUGUUCGGUUCUCU